This is a non-coding RNA of Phrynosoma platyrhinos (Desert horned lizard), 73 nucleotides long. The record is from the annotation of a GenBank genome assembly. NCBI's taxonomy places the organism in Eukaryota, Metazoa, Chordata, Lepidosauria, Squamata, Phrynosomatidae.
GGCCAGCGUGGUAUAGUGGUUUGAGUGCCAGAUUAUGACUCUAGAGACUAGGGUUCGAUUCCUAGCUUGGCCA